CAAAAACCAAAGAGGAAAAAAAAAUCUUUCACAGAGAAUUAAAAAGCAUUCAGGUUUCAUUCCAACGAGCUGGGCGUCAGGACCUCAGCAUUCUUUGAGAAAAGAGAUUAUUGUCUCCAGCCAGCUCUGGUGUAAGCCUGUAAAAUCCUCUGCCAAUCUUUUAGAUGAAUUACCAGCCAACUAAUUCCUUUUCAUCACCAGUUCAUCGAACACUACCUGCACGGACUAGGAGCUGGAGAGUUUGUGUAUACGGACAGAGCUGUUUUACUAGAAUGUCUCCCUAGUGACUUACUGUUUUAACUCAGCCUUUGAAUGGCGUGCACAAAAACCCUGACAUCUUUCUCAGCUCGUGACAACAACAUCCUUCACCUUCUGACCCCCAACACAUUUCCAUGCAUCCUGGGAUCUUUCAUUCAUUAUUGAUUAGGGAAGGCAGCGCUAUACAGCUCUGCAAUGAAGAGAUGCCCUCACAUAUAUUUACUCAGAUCAGAGAUCUCUGCCAAGCCUCCCAGCUGCCAGCCAAGAAUGAAAAGUGCCCAGCACUACACCCAAGGAGAGAUGGAGGGGAGCCAGACUGCCAGCUCCUGAGCACCAGCCAAGAGGAAAAGCAGCACUAAAUAGGUGAAGUCCAGUCCAUAGGUACCGGCAAUACGGUGCACAUCUGAGAGCCCACAGACCAGGUUAUGAAGCAGGCAGAUGCAUGCAUCAGCGGCUGAUGAGACAUGGAGCCCCAUCCAGCUCUGCAUCUGGUCCCAUGAAAAUUCAUCCCAGUUUGGAUGAAACCCACGAGCUAAGCUCUUCUGGCAGGUCUCCCUGCAAAAUAGUUUGACUUCGACAGAAAACACCAUGGAAAAAAACAUGGCUUCUCAGCACACCAUUGUUUCUCUCAUACACUCAGCAAUUUCACCCAAACCGUGAUUGAUGCUCAACCCUCAUAACACAGUCGAGAGAAACUGUUUCUAUGAUCUGUCAUUUAACCACAGGGCUACCUCAGUGCAUUUGUUUGCACCGCAGAAGCAGAGUUCUGUGAUGAAAAGGUUACUUAGCUGCAGCAUGGCAACUCGGCUCAGUGGUAACCUCUGGAUGGAGGAAAACAAACACAGUAGUAGCGUGCUGCUGAUGCCACGUAAAGAGGAGGCUUCAGUUCCAAAACCACAUCAAGGAGAUGAUUACUCAUUCCCACAUCUGGAAAUAUGCUAAACUGCCAUCUAGAGUGCUCCACACUGAAGAAAGAUGAGAUCUAAUUGCUAGAGGCGUGUUGUUCCUCGGAUGAUCAGGAAAACAGAAAAAUGAUUACAAAACCAAACAAAAUCAGCAUAGAUCGUUGCUUAUAAGCACAUCGAGACGGCAAACACCCAGGCUGAAAAAGAACCACAUAAGCUAAAGUCAAAAAAAAGCAGAAGAGACUAAUCUCCACUAAUAAGUUUAGAUAGGAAGUUAGAAUAACAUUUCAAACUGUCAAGAAAUAAGAAGUAGUACCGGUGUCAUAAAAAAACAUAUGGGAGGGUUGUCAUUAAAAUUUUUAUGAACUGACUGCCUAACAAAACCAGGAUAUGGGACAAGAUGACUCACAAGCCCCUUCAAGUCCUAGGCUAUCACAAGUUGUUAUCUAGGGUUUAGCUAACAGAUCUCUCUCUGAAGCAGGGAUCUUCUGUCCCUCUUAAAACAGCAGUUACGUCCACAGGAGACAACCAGGCUGAGCAGUUAACAGAACACGGGUGAUGACAGAUGGGUGAGCACUUGUGCACACAACACAUGGCACACAAACACCUCUUAUAUUAUUCAAGCACAUUGCUUAUAUACUUCAUCUGUAAGGAUAUUCUUAUACAUAAGAAGCAUGCUACCUAUGUAUAAAGUUAACAUUUUCAGAUAAAUCUGAAGCAUGGCUGCGAAUUUAUGGAAGUCCAUUUAUAGAAGAAAACGUGAUGCAAUGGUAAUGUGAUUUUCCACUUUAAAAUUAAGCAUGUCCAAUAAAGAACAUCCUUUCAAAAUCCUAAUGUCUGCA
This is a long non-coding RNA of Anser brachyrhynchus (Pink-footed goose), 2005 nucleotides long. Lineage: Eukaryota; Metazoa; Chordata; Aves; Anseriformes; Anatidae. The record is from Ensembl.